CUCCUACCGAUUGAAUGAUC
RNAcentral lists this non-coding RNA (20 nucleotides) under Arabidopsis thaliana (thale cress). The record is from RNAcentral. Lineage: Eukaryota; Viridiplantae; Streptophyta; Magnoliopsida; Brassicales; Brassicaceae.